GGUUUGAUUCUGGCUCAGGAUGAACGCUAGCUACAGGCUUAACACAUGCAAGUCGAGGGGCAGCAUUUUAGUUUGCUUGCAAACUGAAGAUGGCGACCGGCGCACGGGUGAGUAACACGAAUCCAACCUGCCGAUAACUCCGGAAUAGCCUUUCGAAAGAAAGAUUAAUACCGGAUAGUAUACGAAUAUCGCAUGAUAUUUUUAUUAAAGAAUUUCGGUUAUCGAUGGGGAUGCGUUCCAUUAGUUUGUUGGCGGGGUAACGGCCCACCAAGACUACGAUGGAUAGGGGUUCUGAGAGGAAGGUCCCCCACAUUGGAACUGAGACACGGUCCAAACUCCUACGGGAGGCAGCAGUGAGGAAUAUUGGUCAAUGGGCGAGAGCCUGAACCAGCCAAGUAGCGUGAAGGAUGAAGGCUCUAUGGGUCGUAAACUUCUUUUAUAUGGGAAUAAAGUUUUCCACGUGUGGAAUUUUGUAUGUACCAUAUGAAUAAGGAUCGGCUAACUCCGUGCCAGCAGCCGCGGUAAUACGGAGGAUCCGAGCGUUAUCCGGAUUUAUUGGGUUUAAAGGGAGCGUAGGUGGAUUGUUAAGUCAGUUGUGAAAGUUUGCGGCUCAACCGUAAAAUUGCAGUUGAAACUGGGAGUCUUGAGUACAGUAGAGGUGGGCGGAAUUCGUGGUGUAGCGGUGAAAUGCUUAGAUAUCACGAAGAACUCCGAUUGCGAAGGCAGCUCACUAGACUGUCACUGACACUGAUGCUCGAAAGUGUGGGUAUCAAACAGGAUUAGAUACCCUGGUAGUCCACACAGUAAACGAUGAAUACUCGCUGUUUGCGAUAUACAGUAAGCGGCCAAGCGAAAGCAUUAAGUAUUCCACCUGGGGAGUACGCCGGCAACGGUGAAACUCAAAGGAAUUGACGGGGGCCCGCACAAGCGGAGGAACAUGUGGUUUAAUUCGAUGAUACGCGAGGAACCUUACCCGGGCUUAAAUUGCAACAGAAUAUAUUGGAAACAGUAUAGCCGUAAGGCUGUUGUGAAGGUGCUGCAUGGUUGUCGUCAGCUCGUGCCGUGAGGUGUCGGCUUAAGUGCCAUAACGAGCGCAACCCUUAUCUUUAGUUACUAACAGGUCAUGCUGAGGACUCUAGAGAGACUGCCGUCGUAAGAUGUGAGGAAGGUGGGGAUGACGUCAAAUCAGCACGGCCCUUACGUCCGGGGCUACACACGUGUUACAAUGGGGGGUACAGAAGGCGGCUACCUGGUGACAGGAUGCUAAUCCCAAAAACCUCUCUCAGUUCGGAUCGAAGUCUGCAACCCGACUUCGUGAAGCUGGAUUCGCUAGUAAUCGCGCAUCAGCCAUGGCGCGGUGAAUACGUUCCCGGGCCUUGUACACACCGCCCGUCAAGCCAUGAAAGCCGGGGGUACCUGAAGUACGUAACCGCAAGGAGCGUCCUAGGGUAAAACUGGUAAUUGGGGCUAAGUCGUAACAAGGUACCC
RNAcentral lists this ribosomal RNA (1488 nucleotides) under uncultured bacterium. Its description in RNAcentral is "bacterial SSU rRNA". It matches the Rfam family "Bacterial small subunit ribosomal RNA". The record is from RNAcentral.